GUGCCAGCAGCCGCGGUAAUUCCAGCUCCAAUAGCGCAUAUUAAAGUUGUUGUGGUUAAAAAGCUCGUAGUUGAACCUUGGGCCUGGCUGGCCGGUCCGCCUCACCGCGUGCACUGGUCCGGCCGGGCCUUUCCCUCUGUGGAACCCCAUACCCUUCACUGGGCGUGGCGGGGAAACAGGACAUUUACUUUGAAAAAAUUAGAGUGCUCCAGGCAGGCCUAUGCUCGAAUACAUUAGCAUGGAAUAAUAAAAUAGGACGCGCGGUUCUAUUUUGUUGGUUUAUAGGACCGCCGUAAUGAUUAAUAGGGACAGUCGGGGGCAUCAGUAUUCAACUGUCAGAGGUGAAACUCUUGGAUCAGUUGAAGACUAACUACUGCGAAAGCAUUUGCCAAGGAUGUUUUCACUAAUCAGGGACGAAAGUUAGGGGAUCGAAGACGAUUAGAUACCGUCGUAGUCUUAACCAUAAACUAUGCCGACUAGGGAUCGGACGGUGUUAUUCAUGACCCGUUCGGCACCUUACGAGAAAUCAAAGUGCUUGGGCUCCAGGGGGAGUAUGGUCGCAAGGCUGAAACUUAAAGAAAUUGACGGAAGGGCACCACCAGGGGUGGAGCCUGCGGCUUAAUUUGACUCAACACGGGGAAACUCACCAGGUCCAGACACAAUAAGGAUUGACAGAUUGAGAGCUCUUUUCUUGAUUUUGUGGGUGGUGGUGCAUGACCGUUCUUAGUUGGUGGGGUGACUUGUUCUGCUUAAUUGCGAUAACGAACGAGACCUUUAAUCU
This 781-nucleotide ribosomal RNA is filed under the name uncultured fungus. RNAcentral's name for it is "SSU rRNA". It matches the Rfam family "Eukaryotic small subunit ribosomal RNA", at positions 564 to 1350 of the family's 1831-position model. Lineage: Eukaryota; Fungi. The record is from RNAcentral.